AGGAUGCACCGGUCUUCCCGAAGCCAGCUCUGAAGUGAUGUUCACCGCGUCUCCGCUUUCCUCGCUGCACCUUCCAGAUCCCGGGUCAGCCAGUCGGGGCGCCGCGCAGUUGCAUCUCCUCUGUGGCUCCAGCUCCUUCUGGAAAGCCUCUGGCUGUGGCUUUAGUUUCUUCUGAGGAUCCCCACUGCCCGGGCUCUGAUGCUGCCACCCUCUUCUUCUGUCCUUCCUGAUUAGGACGGAGGCAACUUCCUGCUCUCACUCAUCUCCGGAAAGCUUUACAGACCCUGUUUUAAGAUGGUGACUUGGGGUGCAGAGAAGAUUUUCUCCCAGGAAUCCUGACUAUUGGUCCCAACUCCACCAGCUCACUGAGAGCCUGGGCAAGUCAUGCUCACUCUCCGAGCCUCCGUUUGCCUGUUUGUGAAUGAAGACGAUUUAUUCUUCUUAGCUUCAUCUCCAAAUUGUAUCCCAAAUCAAACAUUUCUCUCCAUCCCUGCUGCCACUGCCCUGGUCUGGGCGAUGGUCUUCCCUUACUUGUACUAGAGUAUCAGCCGUCUCAUUGGCCUCCCGGCUCCCACUCCUGGUCCCACACACACUGCCGGAGGGAUCUUUGUAAAUUAUCAGUCAGACCACAUCACUCCCAGCUCAGACCCUCCACAUCCUACCUUCCUCCCAUGGCUCUCAAGGCCUCGCUAGUUGACACCCCGCUGCCUCCCUACCCUUGUCUCCUACCACGCCCCGGCUCACUAUGUGCCAGCCAUCCUGGUCCCUGAGCUGUCACUCAAACUCACGAGCUCACUCUUACCCCAGGACCUUCGCACUUGCUGUUCUCUCUACCUGGAUGGCUCUUCCUCCAUCCACAUGACUUGUACCCUCCUUUCAUGCAGAUCUCUGCUCACAUGUUGCCUGCCUCCUUACAAAGACCUUUCCCAAUCACCUUCUAAAGUACUUACAUUAUUUAGUUAUUUGUUUAUUGCCUGUCUCCCCCAACUAGAUUGUAAACUCCAUGAGGGCAGGGACUACAUCUGUCUAGGAAGGUCGUCAUCAAAUCCUCAGGUUGGAGAAUGGUGCCUAAGUCUGUAUGUGCUCAAGAAAUACUUGUGGGGGGCUUCCCUGAUGGUGCAGUUGUUGAGAAUCCACCUGCCAAUGCAGGGGACACGAGUUCGAGCCCUGGUCCGGGAAGAUCCCACAUUCUGCGGAGCAACUAAACCCCGUGCGCUACAACUACUGAACCUGUGCUCUAGAGCCUGCGAGCCACAACUACUGAGCCCUCGUGCCACAACGACUGAGCCUGUGCCUAGAGCCCAUGCUCCGCAACAAGAGAGGCCACCGCAGCAAGAAGCCUGCCCACCGCAACAGAG
Long non-coding RNA from Globicephala melas (long-finned pilot whale), 1358 nucleotides. RefSeq lists it as uncharacterized. NCBI's taxonomy places the organism in Eukaryota, Metazoa, Chordata, Mammalia, Artiodactyla, Delphinidae. The record is from RefSeq and is a predicted model, not a curated record.